Molecule: long non-coding RNA, 629 nt
Organism: Austrofundulus limnaeus
Lineage: Eukaryota; Metazoa; Chordata; Actinopteri; Cyprinodontiformes; Rivulidae
Exons: 4
Source: RefSeq, a predicted model, not a curated record
AGAGGACGCAGCGGGCUUCCUCACAUCCAGCAGAAGCAGAACUGGAUCUAACUGAAACUAAAGGUCCGGCUGCUAUGGCAGGUAUAAUUCGUUGGGCUGCGGCGAGAAUCGUUGAGCCAGGGGACAAGAACAAGAUCGGGAUCAAGAGGCAAUAACGAGACAUAGAUGAAAACGCUGGAUAACCACAGGCAAGCUGAUGAUAAUCUAAUACUGAACAGAGGUUCAGCUGCUCAAAGACGAAAGUUCCCAUCUCCUCAUCUCAUGCGUUUCCCGUCAAAGCUCAGUAAACAUAAACUGGUUGAACAGGCUAAAAGAAUGAGGACAGGUUCUGGAUGUACUGAAGUGUCGGCAUCAUAACCAGGACGUAAUCCAGUUGAGUGUGUGGUAAACCUGAGGUUUGGGAGCUGGUUCUCAUCUCAAGAAGAACCUGCAGGAGAGGCAAGGCUCACUCUAGACAAGCUGUCAGUCCAUCACAGGGACAAAUAGACAAUCAUUAAAUUACUCACAACCAGUGACGGCUGGUAUAAGUGGACUGGUAGGGCUGAGUACUCCCUGGUGUUCACAAUAAAAACGUUAAAAUAAACAAUAUUAUAUAAUUACAAUAUAACUAUAUAAUUGUAAACGAUUUA